Long non-coding RNA from Eucalyptus grandis, 742 nucleotides. RefSeq lists it as uncharacterized. Lineage: Eukaryota; Viridiplantae; Streptophyta; Magnoliopsida; Myrtales; Myrtaceae. The transcript is spliced from 2 exons. The record is from RefSeq and is a predicted model, not a curated record.
UUUUACGCCUUUUCCCCAAUCUCUUAUUGCCAAAAGAUUUCGUUUCUUAUGGGCAGAUUCAGCUGGUUACGAUGGGUGAGCGGAUUCGAUCGAGCAUUUCUGGAAGGUCCAGUCGUUCUUCUUUUUGGUUGGUCUGUGUUCGCUAAUUCCGGUUGUUGUACAGUGCCGGCGGCGGCGCUUGCCGUCUUCGGUUACUGGCCGGACGAAUUCGAUUGCGAAUGGUUUGGUUUCGGAUUCGCAGAGGGCGGUUUUGCUCGCCCGGAGUAAGCUUUUCUUUCUUUCUCUCUUUUUCUUCCCUGCGAUGAUGUAGUUAUUGCUUAGCUCAUGAACGGAAGUAGCUGAAGCUUUUCAUCGAUCAGCUUCGUACCGUCGCAGUUUUUUCUUUUUACUGGGAAGAAUCCUGUCGAUUGUGAGACCUUGAGGUGGCCAUGGGAGGUAUCGGCGUCUUCAUGCAACAGGUUCUCAUCCCUACCCCAAAAUAAGCUACUAUGAUAUUCUUGGUGUUUCGGAGGAUGCCAGACGCAAUGAGAUUAAGAAGGCUUUUCAUGUGGUGGGUAGAUCUUUUGUACUAAAUGUAGUCGGGGGAAACUAAUGGGAAUGACAGUGGUUUUUAACCAAUUCAUAUUAUGAGAUUGUGGGAAGGUUGGACUUUGGCCUUAGCUUAAAGCGUGGAAAUAUUCGAUUGACGAGGCAAAUAGGGGCUUCAAAAAUUCGCCCUCAAGAUCUCCUAAUUUUAGUAUCA